This 25-nucleotide non-coding RNA is filed under the name Mus musculus (house mouse). The record is from RNAcentral. Lineage: Eukaryota; Metazoa; Chordata; Mammalia; Rodentia; Muridae.
UGAAUGAGACUGGGAAAGGACCGCA